CCUACGGGUGGCAGCAGUGAGGAAUAUUGGUCAAUGGGCGCGAGCCUGAACCAGCCAAGUCGCGUGAAGGUUGACUGCCCUACGGGUUGUAAACUUCUUUUAUAAAGGAAUAAAGUGCGGCACGUGUGCCUUUUUGUAUGUACUUUAUGAAUAAGGAUCGGCUAACUCCGUGCCAGCAGCCGCGGUAAUACGGAGGAUCCGAGCGUUAUCCGUAUUUAUUUGGUUUAAAGGGAGCGUAGAUGGGUUGUUAAAUCAGUUGUGAAAGUUUGCGGCUCAACCGUAAAAUUGCAAUUGAUACUGGCAGUCUUGAGGACAGUUGAGGUAGGCGGAAUUCGUGGUGUAGCGGUGAAAUGCUUAGAUAUCACGAAGAACUCCGAUUGCGAAGGCAGCUUACUAAACUGCCACUGACAUUGAUGCUCGAAAGUGUGGGUAUCAAACAGGAUUAGAUACCCCUGUAGUC
RNAcentral lists this ribosomal RNA (460 nucleotides) under uncultured bacterium. Its description in RNAcentral is "partial 16S ribosomal RNA". It matches the Rfam family "Bacterial small subunit ribosomal RNA", at positions 338 to 795 of the family's 1533-position model. The record is from RNAcentral.